AUUCUCCUGGAGUCUGUCAAGCUAUGUUUGAACUUGUUCCAGGACACUGGCUUUACUUUAUUUUUUUUCCUACCAAGAAGUAUGCUUGAUUAGACUGUAUUUUACUCUUUCUCUCUGUCUCUCUUUCUCUCUCUCUGUCUGUCUCUGUCUCUCUCUCUCUUUCUCCCUCUCUCUGUCUCUUUCUCUCUCUCUCUUCUUUCUUUUCUCUCUUCUUUCUCCUCUGCUUUUUCUUUCUUCUUUCUUCCUUCCUUUGGGACUUCUUUCUAGCAGAAGAUUGGCAACAAUGUUAUUUUCUGAUCAGUUCAGUAGUACAGUGCCUUUCAGUUUCCACAUGAGCAUUUCAGUGAAGAAAAGAAACUUUGCUACCUGGAACGGAAGACUGCUUAGUGAAGAUCCUGGUGUUCGUCACCUGACUGUUCUCAUCUUUCCAAGACUCCAGUGCUUCGGGAGCUCUUCCCUACUGAAGAGAAACAGACCUAGGGUAUCUCUUAGCUGCAUUACAAUUGGUGAAUGACAAGUAGACAUUUCCCUCUCUGGAUGAGGAAUGAUCAAUUUACC
Molecule: long non-coding RNA, 558 nt
Filed under: Castor canadensis (American beaver)
Lineage: Eukaryota; Metazoa; Chordata; Mammalia; Rodentia; Castoridae
Description: lncRNA (ENSCCNG00000028312.1)
Source: RNAcentral